GGUAAAAUAAACCGUCUGUGUCCUCCUGUCAAACGCAGCUGCGCGCUGGACUAAUCUGGCCUAAUCACAUAUUAAUUGCCAUCAGCUUUAACACAUUGCUCGUUAACCGCGCUAAUUAGCAGCGAUGAAAUUAGCAUUACUGGAGUCUAAUGACUGCAGGUGGAGAGAUGAACGCAGGGCUAAUGCGGAAACAGCUUCAGGGAGCUCGUACGUUCGAAUAAAAAGCCAAAUAAUAUCGUGAGGUGGAUGUUUCUGCUCGGCGAGACGGAGAGUUUCGUGUGACACAAGCUAUGCUACAUAAUGCACUGGCAAAUCAGCACACCAUCUGGCCUUAACCAGCUCUUACGGGUUUGGAACAACAUGUAGACAUAUUUGCUGUAUCGACAGCUCUUUGUUCAAUGAAAAUAAAAACAGCAUUCGGAUUUGUAGUAAUAGUUAUACAGACUUAAUACAUGAGAUCCCUAUGGGCUGCUGGCAGAUCUGAAUCCAAACCGGACAGGUAUGUACUUCAGCACACAUCCAAGCCAGGGAAUAGUAGUUUUAGCUUUGGAAAUACCUGACAGAAGAGAGAUUUUAGUUCUGUUUUUUUAAAGCAAAUAACAACUUAAACUUUCUUACUUCUUACUUCUCCCACUGAUCUGUCAUAUGGCUUCAGAAGACUUGGUUUGUAGAGUGUCUUUUAGACAGAUGGUGUCGCAUGGAUGAUUUUAUAUCAUAAAGAGCUCUCUGCUAAAUAAAAACACCAUUCGGGAACAGCAUAGAGUACAGAUUCUUAAAAAAAUAAUACUAAAAAAAUUUACUGGCCCUCAGGUCAAUCUACAGUGAAGUGAAUCUCAUUUACGUCUACAGGUCUCAUUUUACACCAGAAACAAAAAAAAUGCUAAAACAAAUCAAGCUUUAAAACAUUUAACACCAAUUUUCAUGACUCUAAUGCUUUCAGAUGAUUAUUUAUUCUCAUUAUUCUUAA
Long non-coding RNA from Puntigrus tetrazona (Sumatra barb), 967 nucleotides. RefSeq lists it as uncharacterized. Lineage: Eukaryota; Metazoa; Chordata; Actinopteri; Cypriniformes; Cyprinidae. The record is from RefSeq and is a predicted model, not a curated record. The transcript has 4 exons.